Molecule: ribosomal RNA, 672 nt
Filed under: Triticum aestivum (bread wheat)
Lineage: Eukaryota; Viridiplantae; Streptophyta; Magnoliopsida; Poales; Poaceae
Description: partial small subunit ribosomal RNA
Source: RNAcentral
AUGUUUGCAGCCUGCACUACUAUCACUCUUGGAGAUGGCUCGACGGCUCGUUUCUGGACUGAUAAAUGGAUGUUGGGCAAGGCUCCGGAAGAUUUAGCACCACUGGCUUUUCGGCCAGCGCGCAGGAAAAACUUAACUGUGAAAGAGGCCUUGGCUGAUGGGGGGUGGAUGAAGGGACUGCAACGCAUUGCAACCAUGGAGGAAGUUGAGGAGUUCAUCCACCUCUGGGAGCGGAUUCAAACCAUCCAGUUAACAUCAAACAGAGAUUGCAUCAAGUGGAACCUAUCCGGUGAUGGAAACUACUCUUUAAAUUCUGCGUAUCAAUUUCAGUUUCUCACAAGGAUCCCCCAACCAAGGCUCGAACAGGCUUCACGUGCAAUGGUUGAACCAAAGGUGAAAUUCUAUGUGUGGCUGCUACUGCAGAACCACAACUGGACGUCCGACAGACUAAGGAACAGAGGAUGGGCCCAUACUGACAAGGGCCCACUCUGCGAUCAAAUUCUGGAGACAGCCACGCACAUUACACUUAACUGUCCUUUUACUGAAAAAGGCUUCUGCCCCGCUAUAUAUAUAAGCAACAUAGCCAAACGAUACAUGGUGUUGAGGAGAUCCUCUUACAAAGCAGAUCAAAGAAAAAUACAUGAAAACCAGGGAGACCACACCCUACCAUAA